AAUGCUUCUUGGCAUUUUGGCUAAAAUCAUGUGUAGUAUCUGUUCUUAUGAGUUUAAUAUCUGAUACGUUCUCUAUCAGAGAAUUUCAUAUUAAACGCAUUUUUAGAACAGGGAGACGUUAGAGGGGUUCUGACAGGUUGACACACUUUCUAAUAAGGCAGUAAACUUAACACAAUCCAUAAUUACUGUUUACUGCAG
This is a small nuclear RNA of Chanos chanos (milkfish), 198 nucleotides long. RefSeq annotates it as U2 spliceosomal RNA. NCBI's taxonomy places the organism in Eukaryota, Metazoa, Chordata, Actinopteri, Gonorynchiformes, Chanidae. The record is from RefSeq and is a predicted model, not a curated record. The transcript has a single exon.